RNAcentral lists this ribosomal RNA (440 nucleotides) under uncultured bacterium. RNAcentral's name for it is "partial 16S ribosomal RNA". It matches the Rfam family "Bacterial small subunit ribosomal RNA", at positions 338 to 795 of the family's 1533-position model. The record is from RNAcentral.
CCUACGGGAGGCAGCAGUGGGGAAUAUUGCACAAUGGGGGAAACCCUGAUGCAGCGACGCCGCGUGAGUGAUGAAGGACCUCGGCGUGUAAAGCUCUGUCAGCAGGGAAGAAAAUUACGGUACCUGACUAAGAAGCCCCGGCUAACUACGUGCCAGCAGCCGCGGUAAUACGUAGGGGGCAAGCGUUAUCCGGAUUUACUGGGCGUAAAGGGGGCGUAGACGGCGGUGCAAGCCAGGUGUGAAAGCCCGGGGCUCAACCCCGGGACUGCUUUUGAAACUGCGAGGCUGGAGUGCAGGAGAGGCAGGCGGAAUUCCUGGUGUAGCGGUGAAAUGCGUAGAUAUUAGGAGGAACACCGGUGGCGAAGGCGGCUUACUGGACUGCAACUGACGUUGAGGCUCGAAAGCGUGGGGAGCAAACAGGAUUAGAUACCCUUGUAGUC